This 836-nucleotide long non-coding RNA is filed under the name Nicotiana benthamiana. Its description in RNAcentral is "long non-coding RNA (NBEN_LNC035729)". Lineage: Eukaryota; Viridiplantae; Streptophyta; Magnoliopsida; Solanales; Solanaceae. The record is from RNAcentral.
GACUUCAUUUUCUUUUCUGUUCUUCGUUUAAUAAAAUUUCUCUGAGUUCCAGAGACUUCUCAAACGCUCCUCCUUCUCUCUACUUUCUCUCUCUACAAUCUUCAUGAUUUCUCGGUUUAAUCUCGAUGUUAACAUGGUAUCAGAGCAAGGACGAUGAUCCGACUAUGUUUAUAUGUACUUCGUUGUCUUGGAUGAAGUCUGUUUCGAGAUUUUGGGGGUGUUUUCUGAGACCUCAUGGUCGAUGAAGAUUCCGACCUAUCGGACACCUUUCUGAGUUUUUCAUCGUGAUAUCGAAGUGUGCUUUCUUCACUAGAACGUUCUGGGAGAUAUCUGAUGAUUUUUGGGUGAUUUUUUGGUGACCUGUCGGCUUCUAGGAUUUCUGGAGGUUUAACCUAAAGUUUUACUGCUAUCCGGUGGCUCGAUUCUCACUCAGAGGAUGUUUUGGGUGACUUUCCGACAUUCCUGACCACACUUACAGUAAGAUCUUUGACGGUUGUACCUAGGAUUUUGAACCUAGGGUUUUCUCUGUUUGCUUGAAGGCCGAUCUUCUCCGGUCGCGAAGAAGGAGGGUAACUCUUUCCUUAUCUUGCACAUUCCUGACCAUACAUACAGUAAGAUCUUUGACGGUUGUACCUAGGGUUUCUCUGUUUGCGUGAAGGCCGAUCUUCUCUGGUCACGAAGAAGGAGGGUAACUCUUUCCUUAUCUUGACUAUUGUAUGCAAUCUGUGUGAUUAUCUGGCUCAGUAGGUGAGUAUCUGAUAUUCUGUGUGAAAAUCUGGUUCUGUGUGUGAAUAUUUGGUUUUGUCUGUGAAUAUCUGGUGCGAUUAUGGCUUCCA